UAAGGAAUAUUGGUCAAUGGGGGCAACCCUGAACCAGCCAUGCCGCGUGCAGGACGACUGCCCUAUGGGUUGUAAACUGCUUUUGUCGGGGAAUAAACCCCACUACGUGUAGUGGGCUGAAUGUACCCGAAGAAUAAGGAUCGGCUAACUCCGUGCCAGCAGCCGCGGUAAUACGGAGGAUCCGAGCGUUAUCCGGAUUUAUUGGGUUUAAAGGGUGCGUAGGCGGCACUUUAAGUCAGGGGUGAAAGACGGCAGCUCAACUGUCGCAGUGCCCUUGAUACUGAAGUGCUUGAAUGCGGUUGAAGACGGCGGAAUGAGACAAGUAGCGGUGAAAUGCAUAGAUAUGUCUCAGAACACCGAUUGCGAAGGCAGCUGUCUAAGCCGUUAUUGACGCUGAUGCACGAAAGCGUGGGGAUCGAACA
Molecule: ribosomal RNA, 422 nt
Filed under: uncultured Sphingobacterium sp.
Lineage: Bacteria; Pseudomonadati; Bacteroidota; Sphingobacteriia; Sphingobacteriales; Sphingobacteriaceae
Description: bacterial SSU rRNA
Rfam family: Bacterial small subunit ribosomal RNA
Source: RNAcentral